This 254-nucleotide ribosomal RNA is filed under the name uncultured prokaryote. Its description in RNAcentral is "partial 16S ribosomal RNA". It matches the Rfam family "Bacterial small subunit ribosomal RNA", at positions 524 to 776 of the family's 1533-position model. The record is from RNAcentral.
UACGGAGGAUCCAAGCGUUAUCCGGAAUUACUGGGCGUAAAGAGUUGCGUAGGUGGCAUAGUAAGUAGGUAGUGAAAGCCUGGGGCUCAACCCCUUCAACAUUAUCUAAACUGCUAAGCUAGAAUAUAGAAGAGGUCGCUGGAAUUCCUUGUGUAGGAGUGAAAUCCGUAGAUAUAAGGAGGAACACCGAUGGCGUAGGCAGGCGACUGGUCUAUUAUUGACACUAAGGCACGAAAGCGUGGGUAGCAAACGGG